This 256-nucleotide ribosomal RNA is filed under the name uncultured bacterium. RNAcentral's name for it is "partial 16S ribosomal RNA". It matches the Rfam family "Bacterial small subunit ribosomal RNA", at positions 521 to 776 of the family's 1533-position model. The record is from RNAcentral.
UAAUACGGAGGGUGCAAGCGUUAACCGGAUUUACUGGGCGUAAAGAGUGCGUAGGCGGAUUAGUAAGUCAGAUGUGAAAUUCCGAUACUUAAUAUCGGAGCUGCAUUUGAAACUACUUUUCUAGAGGAUAGAUGGAGAAAGCGGAAUUCCAUGUGUAGCGGUGAAAUGCGUAGAUAUAUGGAAGAACACCUGUGGCGAAAGCGGCUUUCUAAUUUAUUCCUGACGCUGAGGCACGAGAGUGUGGGGAGCAAACAGG